This 513-nucleotide ribosomal RNA is filed under the name uncultured Actinomycetes bacterium. RNAcentral describes it as "bacterial SSU rRNA". It matches the Rfam family "Bacterial small subunit ribosomal RNA", at positions 355 to 857 of the family's 1533-position model. The record is from RNAcentral. Lineage: Bacteria; Bacillati; Actinomycetota; Actinomycetes.
UGGGGAAUCUUGCGCAAUGGGCGAAAGCCUGACGCAGCGACGCCGCGUGAGGGAGGAAGGCCUUCGGGUUGUAAACCUCUUUCAGGAGGGACGAAGCUACUCGGGUGAAUAGCCCAGAGGGUGACGGUACCUCCAGAAGAAGCCCCGGCUAACUACGUGCCAGCAGCCGCGGUAAUACGUAGGGGGCAAGCGUUGUCCGGAUUUACUGGGCGUAAAGCGCGUGUAGGCGGCCACGCAGGUCCGUUGUGAAAACUGGAGGCUCAACCUCCAGACGUCGACGGAAACCGUGUGGCUAGAGUCCGGAAGAGGAGAGUGGAAUUCCUGGUGUAGCGGUGAAAUGCGCAGAUAUCAGGAAGAACACCAAAUGGCGAAAGGCAGCUCUCUGGGACGGUACUGACGCUGAGACGCGAAAGCGUGGGGAGCGAACAGGAUUAGAUACCCUGGUAGUCCACGCCGUAAAACGAUGGGUGCUAGGUGUGGGAGGUGUCGACUCCUUCCGUGCCGUAGCUAACG